Non-coding RNA from Pelobates cultripes (western spadefoot toad), 832 nucleotides. Lineage: Eukaryota; Metazoa; Chordata; Amphibia; Anura; Pelobatidae. The record is from the annotation of a GenBank genome assembly.
CAACGACUCACCACAUUGAAUACAGCAUUGAGCUAUACAUCAAACAUAACAGAUAUAAGUCCAUUGUUACAAUGCAGUAUGAGCAGCCAGGGAGUCCUUGGUUUAGAAUUAGGGAUUUAGAAUGGGAUCAAGAUUAUAUUUUUCACUUUCCAAAGAUAUACGUACGGGGUAUUGUUGCUGAGCUAAGAACAGCUAAGAUAAUUUUAUUACAGUGGGACACACACAAAAACUAAGCAUUAAAAGUACUAUAUGUAUGUAAAGACUUUAAAAUGAAAAUGAAUAGUACAAACUUUGAAAAAAAAUUGAAAAAAAUGGCACCUCAAUAAAGCUCAAAAUACACUGCUCAAAAAAAUAAAGGGAACACUUAAACAGCACAAUGUAACUCCAAGUCAAUCACACUUCUGUGAAAUCAAACUGUCUAUUUAGGAAGCAACACUGAGUGACAAUCAAUUUCACAUGCUGUUGUGCAAAUGGGAUAGACAACAGGUGGAAAUUAUAGGCAAUUAGCAAGACACCCCCAAUAAAGGAGUGGUUCUGCCGGUGGUGACCACAGACCACUUAUCAGUUCCUAUGCUUCCUGGCUGAUGUUUUGGUCACAUGUGAAUGCUGGCGGUGCUUUCACUCUAGUGGUAGUAUGAGACGGAGUCUACAACCCACACAAGUGGCUCAGGUAGUGCAGCUCAUCCAGGAUGGCACAUCAAUGCGAGCUGUGGCAAGAAGGUUUGCUGUGUCUGUCAGCGUAGUGUCCAGACCAUGGAGGCGCUACCAGGAGACAGGCCAGUACAUCAGGAGACGUGGAGGAGGCCGUAGGAGGGAAACAACCCAGCAGCAG